UGUAGUCCGAGUAAGUGCACAAAAUGCAUUUAUCACCUAGCAAUGAAAUUCCUUAAAGGCAUUUCAUCGUCAUAAUCACAUCUGUUCGUCAAAUUCCCACAAGUGUACGGGUUCGUUGUACAAGUAAUAAUCGUAAUGAGAGAGUUAUCGUCCCACAGGGAAUAAUGAUCAAUUUUAGUAUAUUGGAUAUAUUCAAAUUCGAAUUUGUAACCAAAAGAUGAUCGAGUGAAUAGCUAACUACUUUUUAUAACUAAAACUUAUUAAGUCAAUGAAAAUUGGUUUAAAAAUCAAAUGUAUGAACGUAUUGGAUUUCCGACGCCACUGAUCAAUUCUUAGUUCUAAUUCUCAACCAAUAAUAAUUAUUUCAAUUUAUGUAGUUGCGACGAUCAAUAAUUCCACUAUUAUUUAUUUUUAUUUUCCAAGAUAUAAUAAACCUAUAAUUACCACGAGACGAUCAUAUUCCUAGUCCGACUUCAUAUGACAAACAUGUAUUGAUAUUUAGGAUUAUCACAUAAGAUCGCACACAUCACAAAUAUUAUUCCUAAUAUUUAUUGCCCGUAUGUCUCAAUAAUAGUGUUCUAACUAUCGUGACUUUUCCAACACUACGAAAAAGCAACUUAUUAUCCUAAUGGUGCGCAAACAUUAAAACAAUCUAAUUGUGCAUAUUAAUGGAAUCACAACGCAAUAAUUAACAUAAAAACGUAGGUCUCGAGUUAAAACUAAAAAUUAAACAAUUUUUGUCAUCAUCCAAUACAUGAAAAUAUUUUGCCUAGCAUAAUGUUGGGAUUAAAUAAAUAAAAGUGGAAGGAAGUCACCGAAAUUUGACGGGACAUGAUUAACUCCACGAAAUUUCUCCACUUUUGCGCACGCGCGGCUUGUCUAGGUAGAUAUAUUUUUCCCCAAUUGGCGUGUAAUUAAACUCCCAGCAGCCACCUUUUCAACGUGUCUUCUGGUCAAUUGCGUGUGUUGUAUCAGUAAAAAAAAAAAAAAAAUCAGCCCAAUGUUUUUAUAAUCUCAACCAAUUGGCAGCCGAAUUCUCUUCUUUCUAGCCAUCUUUUUCUAUGGCUUCUUUUCUCUAUUCCUCUCCCCCCAGUUUCUGCCAAUGUUUCUGCAUAUAUAUAUCCAAGCAGCUGCUUUAAUUUAUAUGUAAAAUAAUUCAAUCCAAUUGCUAAUUUGUCCCCUCCUUCUGCCGAUUUUUUUGACUCCAAAAGAGUGAAAUUCCAUAU
RNAcentral lists this long non-coding RNA (1226 nucleotides) under Olea europaea subsp. europaea. The record is from RNAcentral. Lineage: Eukaryota; Viridiplantae; Streptophyta; Magnoliopsida; Lamiales; Oleaceae.